RNAcentral lists this ribosomal RNA (318 nucleotides) under Triticum aestivum (bread wheat). RNAcentral describes it as "partial small subunit ribosomal RNA". The record is from RNAcentral. Lineage: Eukaryota; Viridiplantae; Streptophyta; Magnoliopsida; Poales; Poaceae.
GCGGAUCAUGCUCGCUCUGCUGACUCCCUUGCCGAGCUUACAAAUAAGGUGGAGAGGUGCACCACUCCGGUGGUGGUGGCCGGGGACUUCAACCUCAUUAGGUGGGCUUCUGAUAAAAGCUUGCCUAAUGUUGAUCGGGUCCAGAUGCGUCUAGUUAACGACUGCAUUGCGGACCUUGCGCUCCGUGAGAUAGCCCGCGUAGGGGCUAGGUUUACGUGGACGAAUAAGCAGGCGGACACCAUCCGGAGUGUGUUAGAUCGGGUCUUUGUGUCGGCUCAGUGGGUAGUGAUGUUCCCAUUGUGCUCUCUCAAGCCAUGA